RNAcentral lists this long non-coding RNA (10199 nucleotides) under Citrus maxima (pomelo). RNAcentral's name for it is "long non-coding RNA (CMAX_LNC004138)". The record is from RNAcentral. Lineage: Eukaryota; Viridiplantae; Streptophyta; Magnoliopsida; Sapindales; Rutaceae.
AGAGAUCUUACAAGUUAAACUGAACCAAACUGAGACCAUCAUACAAAUUGAUCGGGUAAUAACAGUACCCAUACUUUUAUUUUCUUAAACAUAACAUAAGAGACUAAUACUGCAUGUUCUUAACCAGUGUGAUUAGGGUUUCUUCCAUAUUGCGGAACCACAAGAAGAUCAAUAUUUCCAUUAAUUUCAUCAUCAGCAAUAAGUGAAAAAAAUGGGUGACCUACACCCUCCGACCAAUCGGUAUAACCUGAAAAAAUCAUGUUAUAAAACUCAAUCACAAAUACACAUAUUAAAAUAAAGAAUUAUAAAUGACAUUUAUUUGAAAAUGCAUGGCCUAUGUAUAAAACCUGCGCAAGGAGUUCCCAUAAUCUUCAAAUCAGGAAGGCAAAAGAUUUCUGCUGGCUUCGAUUGAACCGUAUUCAAAACUCAAAAGGUAAGUAGUUGUGCUUGAGCGAGUUCUUAUUUCUGGUUUGAUCUGAUAUAUAUAGAUCAAGUAGCCGACACUGUGGUGCCAACGUUGCAAACUAACAAGUCGUGCAUGGUAAAGAUAAUGGAUCAACGGUCCAAGUUUAAUCGUACAAUAACUAGGUAAUUGAUUUAGGCUUAUUUUAUUUUAAUGAACUAACGAAAAAUACAGGUCUCGUUGGUUAUGCUGAUGCAGGCUAUUUAUCUGAUCCCCAUAAAGCUCGUUCACAAACAGGAUAUGUUUUUACUUUCAAUGGUACAACAAUUUUUUGGAAGUCUACAAAACAGACUCUCGUUGCAACAUCCUCCAACCAUUCUGAAAUUCUUGCACUAAAUGAAGCCAGUCGAGAAUGCAUAUGGUUGCGAUCUGUAAUCCAUCAUAUUCAAAAUACCGGUAGAAUAUCUUCAAGUUCAGAUAUCCCAACAGUGAUAUAUGAAGAUAAUGCUGCAUGUAUAGCUCAACUCAGAGGAGGAAACAUUAAAGAGGAUAGAACAAAACAUAUUUCGCCGAAAUUCUUCUACACUCAUGAGCUCCAACAGAACAAAAAGAUUGAUAUCAAACAGAUACGCUCCACAGAAAAUUUAGCUGAUAUGUUUACAAAAACUCUACCUACAUCUACAUUCGAAAAAAUCGUAUAUGGCAUUGGCAUGCGUCGUUUUAACAAACUGUUAAAUUAAGACAUGUUGUCUUUAGGAAGAGCACUCAACAAGAGGAGCGUGAUCUUACAAGAGAGGGAUUAUAGUAAUAUUGGACACAUAUGUACUGUACUUUUUUUUUCCUUUUGACCAGGUUUUCCCACUGGGUUUUUACUGGCAAAAGUUUUUAAUGAGCAGUAUCCAAUGUCAUCAGGGGGAGCACAUCUAAUAAAUAAUUGAUGAAUCCAAGGGGAAGUGUUGUAAAUCAUGGUGGAUUCCACCAAAAUAAUGCCCUCCCACCAAAAUAAUGCUCUCUCAUUAUCAUCUUAUUGCUCUUCCCAUUAUCCUUUUUUAUAAUUAAUAAUUGUGAAUAACUCCACCUUGUAAUGCCUAUAUAAACCCUUUCUUUGUUAAUGAAUGAAGACAAUUUCAAUUCCUCGCUCAAGGCACUUUACUUGUUUCUUCAAUCUUCAUUUGAGUAUUCCUUACUUACAUAUUCCCAAUUAAAUAAUUAUUUACAUACAAUCCCUUUAAAUUAUAACAUCUAUUAUCUCCAAAUUUAUAACAAAAACUUUAUUUUAAGUAGUGGAAAAGAACAGUAUAUUUAAAUUGGUCUCGGAGAAUGGUAGGUGAAUGAGGCCAAAUUAAAUUUGCGCGAAAAAUCCAAGAGCAUGUGAGACUUGCUCAAUUAUUGUAUUGUGUGUCCUGCGCUAUAAUUAAAGCAAAUGAAAUCCGCGACAAUAUAUAUAUAAUCAAGUAGCCGGUCCAAAGCGCAUCAAAAAAGAAAAAGGGUAGCUGCUCUGAGGGCAAGUUGUGAAUUAUUUCAAUAAAAAAAAGUUGGAUUGUGACAGACACUACAUAUAUUAAGAGGAUGGAUUAGGCCUUUUAACUGUUAUAAAAUUAUUUGAUUGUUAAUGACGUCUUUAUUUAAAAUUAUAAAAUUAUUUUAAUAAAUAAAUAUAUUUAAAAUAUAUUAUUAAAGGAAUGAAAUAAAUAAGAGUAUUUAAAAAAAUCUAAUUUUUUUAAAAAAAACCUCUACAACUUUAAUGGCCUAAAAACUUAAACUUUCCUUAAUAAAAGUAAAAUAAUUUAUUUAAUUUCUAAAAGCUUAGCUCAAAAUACAACCAAACAACACAAAUUUUUUUUAAAAGAGCUUUAAAAACGAAAUAAAUAUUUUUAGGCAUUAGAAAAGUUAUAUUAAACAUGCACUUAUUACAUGUAUAAAUGGAUUAUAAUUUAAUACCAACUCCCAUAAUUAUUAGAGUUAAAUCUUCUCUUAUACUAGUAACAUUACCCACCCCCGGGGGACUUGGAACUCAUAUCCUAAAUGUUGAGGGCAUGCGUUCUCACCUAUACCCUUAAGAGGGAAGUCACCAUAAAUAUCUGUUUGCGGAAGAGCAAUAUUCACCAUACAAAGCCUCUAAUUGGACAAGCCCUCUCCUUUUAAUUUUUUUUUUUUCGUUUUUUUGAAUAUAUAUAGACACACACACACACACAUAUACAUACACACAAAAGUCAGAAUUGAAGCGCCAUAAAUAUAAUAAGAAGAACUUGCAACAAGAAGCUUCUGGCAUCUCCCAAACAAGCUUGAAAAAGUAGUCAGUCAGUAAGAGUUGAAAAAUUAAAAAAGAAAAAGAAAAAAAAGCCUGGCAAAUAACAAUGUGAUGGGAUUGGGAGGUGGUGUCUUAGCAGCGAUCUUAGUUAUGAUGAUACUCUUCUUCACUGCGAAUCAAUCUUGUGCGGCAGGAAACGUGAAAGGGAGUCCUUGUCACUUUUUUUUUAAAAAAAAUUUCACGCUCAUCACAAGUUGAUUUGUUUUGUCAUUUGUGAUUGCGGGGUGUGUGUCUUCUUUUGGUUUGAUGCCUUACUGAUCUGAUCCGCAAUCUUAAACUUUAUUCAAAUUCAAAAAAAAUUAUCAAGUUAUAUGGUUUAAUUUACAAUUUUUCUCUAUUUCUCUACUUAUAAAUUUUACAUUUUUUAAUAAAAGUUAUUAAAGUCGCGGAGCUAUUAAGGGUUUUUAUGACAUUUUCCUAUUUGUAAUUAAUUUGAUCAUUAAAAGUAUAUAAGUUAUUUUCUCGAUUUAUAUUCAAACAUAUUUAAAUUUUAUAAAAAUAAAUUAAUGUCUUAGUUAACCUUUCUAAUUUUUUUUCUGCUCGACGAAUUUAUAAAGACGUCGUUUUUAAGAAGGAAAUUAUUUCUCUUUAUCUUUUUACUGCUUGAUUGGAACUCGGGCAAUUUGAAAAAAGGAAAGGAUUGAUGUUGAUGGAAAGAAUUGGGUAUGGAAAUAAAAUUGUGUGCCUUUAUAAUAAACUCAUUAAAAAUCAAAUUGAAUGAAUUUAAUUAUUAAUAAUUAGGUUACGAUAUAAAAUGAAAUCCUAAGCUUUCAAUUUUUUUUCUAGAAAUUAAUUUUAUAAUUAGAUUAUUGAAAGCUAAAGAAAAAUUAGGAGGGGGAAAACUAGUUGGGAAUCCGCAUCCUAUUCUUAUUAAUUAAUUAUAAUCUCUUUUUUUUUUUAAACAAGUCCAAAAUUUUCCUUUGUUUUUUUUUUUCUUUUUAAAUACCCAAAACUAAAAAACAGGGCAUGCACUCUGUUUAUAUUUCUAUGAAAUCGUUGUUCAUUAAGCAAAAAGAUAAAGAAUCAAAAGGACAUCUUUUAUGUGUAAAUACACAUCAAAUCUCUUUUAUUAAUCAAAUUUUGUUGGGCAUCGGACGAAUGAAAAACCAUUUGUUCUUGAACAUCUUUUCGUAGUUUCAAAUAGAAGUGAGAGAGCGUUGACGCAAAAGGACCGGCAGACUUAACAUUUUUCCAUGAGAAUUAUGUGUUAUGUGGAACUAAUUUUAAUUUACUUCCGUCAUCUUGUUACAGUGUUAACUCUUUGUUCAUGAAUCGAUUAAUAAGUGCGUUUUUUCACUCAAAAGUUUUCAUCUUAUUAGCUUGGAUCAUCUUUUUCUUUUUCCCUUUCUUUUUCUCCUCGUUGUCUUCUAUUAACUACUCUCUCUCCUCUAUGAUGAGGAAUAAUGCUAUCUGAAAAUUCAUUGAUUUGUCGGUGUUUGAUUUAUGACAAGCGGAUUUCUCAUCCUACAACUUUUUUUUGGGCCUGAUGAGUCCAUCUCAUUGGGUGGCCCAAGCUCAAGUUUCACUAAUUUGAAAAUUUAAAUAAUUAAAGAAAAUAAGUGGGGCUAAUUGAAAUUAGUCAAUAGAAAUCAUUAGAUAAAGAAGAGCAAAAGCAAGGGACUGGUAGGGAUGGUAAGUUAACGGGUACAGUUUGCAAUGGGUUUGUUAUUACCAAACUCAUAUUCACACUAAAUUUAAAUUAUUAAACCCAAUCCGUAAUUUAUUGUAGGUUCUAAUUUUUUUUUAAAAAUCCACCCACUGCGAGUUUUGACAAUUACCAAACUCGUAAUGGUAUCCAAUAGAUUUUUUUUUGCAGGUUUUCACAUUUAAAAUCACAAAUAUUUGAUAUGAAAAUUUAUAAUAAUAACGUAAAAUUCCACAUAAUAUACUCAAUUCUAAAUUUAACCAAUGUAAAUGGAAAAUUAAAAUUUCAACAUCAAUCCAACAAAAAUUCUCAAAUUAAAGUAUGAAAUACACAAAUCAAUAAAAAAAACCACAAAUUAGUAUCUAAAUAUAACAAUUAUUAUCAUUUUAUAUUAUCAUUCAACACAUGCUCCUAGAGAAGUUUUUCAUUUUAUUCACCACUAUUAGCACCCAUCGAACAUGAUUCCUACAAUAAUGAUUAAAAUUAAUAUUUUCUAAAGAAUAAUACAUCGAGCCACUUCACAAUCACUGGUUCCAACUGAACAAUUGCACUAUCACAAUCUUCAAGAACGCCACCCGUAUGGCUUCUCUUGUUCCCAUCGUUGACGGUUCCGUAAUCACCACUUUUUCGAUAGGUGCAACAACCCUGGUGAAGGAUCAGACUGUGUUUGGUUUUAGAAACUUCGUCAUUUCAAUUAAUUGUGGCUUUAUUUGAACAAUUAAUUUUGGUGUUAUAUUAAUGUAUUACUGUUAUUUUAUUUGAACAAUUAAUCUUAGUGUGUUAUAUUUUGAAACUUUGAACGUAUUAUUGUAGUUUUAUUUCAACAAUUAAUCUCAAUGUGUUAUAUUUUAAAACUAUGAAUGUAUUAUUUUAUCUUUAUUUAAACAAUUAAUUUGUUUAAAUUUUAUUCAGUUUUAAAUUUAAUCGAUAAUAAAAUUAUUUUUAUAUUAAAUUAUUAUUUUUCAUUAGUUCAUGGUAGGAAUGGUAAUUUUUUCCAAUGGGAUGGGAUCCUGCGGGACACUACGGUCAAGUAGCCGACACUACGGUGCCAACGUAUCAAGUAAACAAGUCAUGCAUGGUAAAGAUAAUGGAUCAAUGGUCCAAGUUUAAUCGUACAAUAACUAGGUAAGAUUAAGGGCUCUAUAUUGUUAAAUUAUUGCACGUGCGAAAUAUGGUCCAAAAAAUAAAUAGUUGUAAAUAAGAAAGACGAACAAAUUAAGUAAUUAGUACCACUACCGAACACAGUGCAUUGGAAGGACUGGCUUUCUUCCCUUUUAUAAGAGCAAAGAACGAAAUUUUGUAAUAGUUUUACUUAACAGCUGAAAGUUAAUUUCAUUUUUAUAUCUUUCUUUUCCUUCUUUAUUUCUUAUAUUUUUCUGUUAUUAUUAUAAUUUUUCUUUUAUGUCAGUACGAGAGGCGUGUAAUUUUUUUGGUUUACUAAACCCUUAAUAAAGCAUUGAAUCCCAGUCAAGCAUUCGGUUGCGGAAGAGGCCGAAGCAUUCGCUCUUGUCUCCCUCAUCCCAAUGCCCCCAAAAAGCCCGAUCAUUGCGCACCUGCCCCCGGCAGCACGUAUGCCCCAGCCAAACGAGAUUGCUAGCUAGUUUAUGAUACAUCUUUAAUCUUCAAUCUUCAUCUUUAUCUUCAACUAUGCCAUGAUGUGGGUUUAUUCUGCAUAUGCAUGUUGUAUUUAAUUUAUAAGUAUAGCUAUAAUUAAUUAAUAAUCUCUCUUUCCCAUCCCUUCUUAAUUCUAUCUGUCUAUAUAUUAUUAAUAAUUAAGCCUUAAGCUUGUACUGCUGCAUCCAUGCAUAAUUGCAUAUGCAUUAAUAAAUAAAUUAAUUGAAACUUGUAAUUUGUUUAGCACUAAUUAAUUCGUUGUUAAAUUAGCUAAGGUUACUCCAUCUUGAUGCUAUCGUUCGUGUUCACUCAUUUCAAUUCUACCAUACUCGUCCGGAAUUUAUUAACUUUCCAUGUGCGUGCGUGUUAACAGCCUGGAGAUGUAAUUAGUUAAUUGAUUAACCAUUGAUGGCGUUUUGCAUCGAGCUGGACCUACUCUUAAUUACCGGCCUUGAAGGGAAACCCGCUACGAUAUAAAUCAAACAACUGAACGUACAACUUCAUUACAUUUCCUGCAACAAUGCCCCUAACAUUCAAUGAUUUAUCUGCUCCCUCCCAUCAUGCCUUAAUUAAUUGUUACCACAACAUCAUCCCGAAUUUUGUAAUUACAAUUAAUUAUAUAUGUUAGCUAUUUUUCUUUUUAAAAAAUAAUUUUACAGAGACAGAUACAAUUAGUGUGGCGCAUGGGAGGAUGUUAGUUGAAACUUGGAAGCGAUAUCGAUUAAUCCAUCAUGCUUUUGUCCAACUUCUAUAUAUCUUCACGAUUAUGAAAUUUAUUGUUUCUUUUCCAUUCACUUCUUGUGAUACAUUGUCCGGCCCACGUGUUAGCCUUUAAUUAUGCCAUCUUGCAACAUAAGCCCAUUGUUUGAGAAUUGAUCUCAGUUGAAGGGGCAGCUGAGACUUGAACCAUGAACUUUGAAGGUCACGUAGGUGGUGUCGUCCAUGUGCCAAGUAUACAUCAAUCAAACUUUAAGUAAUUAUUGGUUGGGCGAAAAUGAAAGCAAAGUGCAUAUUUAUGACUAGCUGUAGAAGAGAGCGAAAGGGCAGAACGAGCGUAUAAAGGGAGCUUUCGAUGACUUGGCUCAAAUAAAGGCAGUUUUAUAUUUAUACACGGAUGGUGCAGUCAGUGACUUGACUAUAUGUGUAUUUCCUUGUUUUUUUUUUCUUUUUAAAUACGCAAAACUAAAAAACAGGGCAUGCACUCUGUUUAUAUUUCUAUGAAAUCGUUGUUCAUUAAGCAAAUUUCUUCCUCUAAGUUCAGAUAAUUUCAUGAUUUGUCACUGACUGCACCCAAUAAAAAGAUAAAGAAUCAAAAGGACAUAUUUUAUGUGUAAAUACACAUCAAAUCUCUUUUAUCAAUCAAAAUUUUAUUAUUAUUAAUAAAAUAGGCUGUAUAGCAUAUUCUAUUUUCUCCCUCAGCUAAGAUACUAAUAUAUUACCAAAUUAAUUCGUAAACGGAAAUUAAGAAAGUUAGAUCUCCAGUGAUUGUCCGUGCAAUCUCUGACUUGGCGGCACUGGAUUUUAUCAAUGCUUCGUUGUUAAAAUUUCCCGUGAAGGACGUAUAAAUUGCUGCCAUGGUGAUCUUUGCAAAGGAUGUGACCAUUGCUGCGCUGGAUAAUACUGCUGGGGAGGUGAACAUUGCUGCGCUGGGUAUAAAAUGCAAGGGAUAUGAAUGUAAUUGGAGAUCGUUUUCAUUUUUGUUUGUCGUUUUCGCUUUUUCAAGGUUGGUAAAUGGAGAGUGAAGAAACAGCAGAUCAUCGAGGAGGAUUCACUAACUUUCGUGAAUUUAGGGAGGGGUUUCCUUGAGAUUAUGUGCUUGUUUGGUACGAUUUAUUUAAUGGUCACAAGUCAAGUAUUUAUUUAAUUUUAUCAACUCUUAUUUUAAUUUUCGUUAUUGUUUAGUUGUUUAUUUAAUAGAGCUUUUGAAAUUUAAAUAAGUUAUUUUGUCUUUUCUAACAAAAUCUCAAAUUUUGUUGGGCAUAGGACGAACGAAAAACAUUUGUUCUUGAACACCUUUUCCUAGUUUCAAACAGAAGUGAGAGAGAGUUGAUGCUAAAAAGACCGCCAGACUUAUAUUUUUCCAUGAGAAUUAUGUGUUAUGUGGAACUAAUUUUAAUUUACUUUCGUGAUCUUGUUACAAUGUUAACUCUUUGUUCAUGAAUUGAUUAAUACGUGUUUCUUUUUACUCAAAAGUCUUCAUCUUAUUAACUUGCAUCAUCUUUUUCUUCUUCUUUUUCUCCGCGUGGUCUUCAAUCACCUAGUUUCUCUCCUAUAGGAUGAGCAUUAAUACCCAUCCGAAAAUGCAUUGGUUUGUCGCUGUUUGAUAAAUGACAAGCGGAUUUCUCGUCCCACAAUUUUUUUGGUCCAAAUGAGAAAUAAUAUGGUAUCAACUACUGUAUCUUGACUGGUAUUAUUUUAAGAAAUAGCAUUUGCUUACUAUUUGACUUAACAAAACAAUAUCCAGUGCGCUUGUAUUAACCCUGCUGCGUUUUUUUCACAAUAUCUAUUUCUAUUCUUUGCUGAGGACUUUUGUGAAUCUGUGAUAUAAGCUGGCGGAAUCGCUGCAUCCAAAUUUAAUAUGAGAAAACAUAUCCUCAAGCUAGCCCGCUUAACGCGUAGCGGAUAUUAGUAAUAAGAAUGACCAUAGCACAGCCACAGAAACGGCGCAGCCCCAUUCUAUCAUUUUUGUGCCCCCUCCUCAAACUUUUUUGAUAAUAAUUUUUUAUAUCACUCUUUAUUUCACCAUACUCUAUUUUGAUUAAUUCGAUUUAUUUCUCAAAUUACUCCCAUUAAAAAUAUUUUAUCUCUAAAUUUUGAUUAAUUCGAUUUAUUUCUCAAAUUACUCCCAUUAAAAAUAUUUUAAUUAUUAUUAUUGUCAUUAAUUUCAUCAUCAUCAUUAUUAUUAAAUUUUUUUAUUUAUUUUUCUUUUAGAAUAACAUGGUACACAUAAAUAGCUAGACAAAGAGAAUCUCUUGUAUAUAUCAAGAGAUCUUACAAGUUAAACUGAACCAAACUGAGACCAUCAUACAAUUGAUGGGUAAUAACUGUACCCAUACUUUUAUUUUCUUAAACAUAACAUAAGAGACUAAUACUGCAUAUUCUUAACCGGUGUGAUCAAUGUUUCUUCCAUAUUGUGGGACCACAAGAAGAUCAAUAUUUCCAUUAAUUUCAUCAUCAGCAAUAAGUGACCAACGUGGCGGUGCAAUCCCCUCCGACCAAUCGUUAUAACCUGAAAAAUUCAUGUUAUAAAAUUUAAUCACAAAUACACCUAUUAAAAUAAGAAUUAUAAAUGACAUUUAUUUGAAAAUGCAUGGCCUAUGUAUAAACCUGCGCAAGGAGUUCCCAUAAUCUUCAAAUCAGGAAGGCAAAAGAUUUCUGCUGGCUUCGACUGAACCGUAUUCAAAACUCAAUAGGUAAGUAGUUGUGCUUGAGCGAGUUCUUAUUUCUGGUUUGAUCUGAUAUAUAUAGAUCAAGUAGCCGGAACUACGGUGCCAACGUGGCAAAGUAACAAGUUGUGCAUGGUAAAGAUAAUGGAUCAAUGGUUCUAAUUUAAUCGUACAAUAAGUAGGGAAGGUCAACAGCUCUAUAUGGUUAAGUUAGUGCAUGUGCGAUACAUGGUUCAAAAAAUAAAUAAUUUUAAAUACGAAGGACGAGCAAAUUAAGUAAUAAAUGCCAUUACCAAAUAAUAGUGUGUGGUAUACUAUAGAUAAUGGAUCAACGAUUCAGAUUUCAUCAUACAAUAAGUAGGUAAGAUUAACGGUUAGUGUUAAAUCAUUGCAUGUGCGAAACAUGGUCCACAAAAUAAAUAGUAGUAAACAAGAAAGACGAAUAAAGUAAUCAAAUACCAUGUCAUCAGAUAAAAAGAAAAAAAGAAAGGUAUACAUACCAUUACCAAACAAUUGCUUGGUAAAGAUAACAGAUUUACCGCUGAAGUCUGAUAAUUGUAAGAUUAACGGCUAUAUAUGGUUCAACUGCAUGUGUAAAUAAAGUAUGAAUCAACCAAAACGGUUGUGGCUCAGUUGGCAACGCAGGCUGGGUAAGUGGGAAGAGCUCUCGGGUUCGAUCCUCACUAAACACACCAUUUGGGAGGGGUAAAGAGCCUUAACUGUGACUACACCCCGAAUCCGAAUUAGUCGGGGCUCAAUGCGGUCGCCGGAAAUCGGGUGGUUUAAAAAAAAAAAAAAGUAUGAAUCAAUGGGUCCAGGAAAUAAAUAAGAAGACCACAA